GUCUUUUAGAAUUAAAUUAAAAGUCUAACCUGCCCAUUGAAUAUAUUAAAAGGCUGCGGUAUUUUGACCGUACAAAGGUAGCAUAAUCAUUAGUUUUUUAAUUGAAAACUUGUAUGAAUGGUUGAAUGAGAUAUUAACUGUUUUAAUAAAAAUAUAGAAUUUUACUUUUUAAUUAAAAGGUUAAAAUAAAAUUAAAAGACGAGAAGACCCUAUAGAUUUUUAUAUUUAUAAUAUUAUGAAAUUAAAGUUUAUUAUUUUUUUAAUAAAAUUAAAUAUUUUAUUGGGGUGAUAGUAAAAUUUAAAAAACUUUUAUUAAAAAUUUAACAUUAAUUUAUGAUAAAUUGAUCCAAAUAUUUUGAUUAUAAGAUUAAAUUACCUUAGGGAUAACAGCGUAAUUUUUUUUUAAGUUCUUAUUAAUAAAAAAGUUUGCGACCUCGAUGUUGGAUUAAGAUUAAUUUUAGGUGCAGAAGUUUAAAAUUUAAGUCUGUUCGACUUUUAAAUUCUU
RNAcentral lists this ribosomal RNA (505 nucleotides) under Sciara multispinulosa. Its description in RNAcentral is "partial 16S ribosomal RNA". Lineage: Eukaryota; Metazoa; Arthropoda; Insecta; Diptera; Sciaridae. The record is from RNAcentral.